Molecule: ribosomal RNA, 233 nt
Filed under: uncultured bacterium
Lineage: Bacteria
Description: partial 16S ribosomal RNA
Rfam family: Bacterial small subunit ribosomal RNA
Source: RNAcentral
UGAGCAAUCUGCCCUUCUCAUCGGAAUAAGCGUUGGAAACGACGUCUAAUGCCGAAUACGACCUCCUUUCGCAUGAUCGGAGGUGGAAAGCUCCGGCGGAGAAGGAUGAGCUCGCGGCCUAUCAGCUAGUUGGUGUGGGUAAUGGCCCACCAAGGCGACGACGGGUAGCCGGCCUGAGAGGGUGACCGGCCACACUGGGACUGAGACACGGCCCAGACUCCUACGGGAGGNAG